This 437-nucleotide long non-coding RNA is filed under the name Pomacea canaliculata. RNAcentral describes it as "uncharacterized LOC112577223". Lineage: Eukaryota; Metazoa; Mollusca; Gastropoda; Architaenioglossa; Ampullariidae. The record is from RNAcentral.
GAAACAUUGAACUCCACUCAAGCUUCACUAAGAGCCGAAGAAGUCGUCCUCUCAUCAUGACCAGCAAGUUCGUCACCUUUGCCCUGGUUGUCCUGGCUGUCGCCAUGGCUACGGUGGAUGCCAAGAAGCCAGAAGGGAAGCCAAAAGAAAAUAAAAUUCCUUGUCCUCGGCUGCUGGAACUCUACGACACCUGCAUCUCCGCUGAACCCCCCAGAAACUGCACUCAGCUCGACACUCUCAUCAACAAAAAAGGAUGUAGAGUAACAACCACAGAAGCCACUACAACAGUGGAACCUACACCUAUUUAAAGAACAAGACACGAAUACGCUGGAUGGACACUGGAGCGAAGUACGAAAAUAUUUCAUCGACUUUUGUUGUUGACGACGAGAAAUAUGGAUCUGAAACAUGAUUAAUAAAAUUGUUCUGAUCAGACAGCA